RNAcentral lists this ribosomal RNA (2142 nucleotides) under Sporosarcina ureae. RNAcentral's name for it is "bacterial LSU rRNA". It matches the Rfam family "Bacterial large subunit ribosomal RNA", at positions 129 to 2266 of the family's 2925-position model. The record is from RNAcentral. Lineage: Bacteria; Bacillati; Bacillota; Bacilli; Caryophanales; Caryophanaceae.
CACUGUCCAUAAUGGGAYAGUACGUGUAUGUGAAUACAUAGCAUACUCGUGGCACACCCGGAGAACUGAAACAUCUAAGUACCCGGAGGAAGAGAAAGAAACAUCGAUUCCCUUAGUAGCGGCGAGCGAAACGGGAAGAGCCCAAACCAAGAAGCUUGCUUCUUGGGGUUGUAGGACACUCUAUACGGAGUUACAAARGAAUGUGKUAGAUGAAGCGACCUGGAAAGGUCYGCCAAAGAGGGUAAAAGCCCCGUARUCGAAAGCACAUUCUCUCCAGAGUGGAUCCUGAGUACGGCGGAACACGUGAAAUUCCGUCGGAAUCCGGGAGGACCAUCUCCCAAGGCUAAAUACUCCCUAGUGACCGAUAGUGAACCAGUACCGUGAGGGAAAGGUGAAAAGCACCCCGGAAGGGGAGUGAAAUAGAUCCUGAAACCGUGCGCUUACAAAUUGUCAGAGCCCGUUAAUGGGUGAUGGCGUGCCUUUUGUAGAAUGAACCGGCGAGUUACGAUUCCAUGCAAGGUUAAGCUGAGAAAGCGGAGCCGCAGCGAAAGCGAGUYUGAMURGGGCGRWWGAGUAUGGGGUCGUAGACCCGAAACCAGGUGAUCUACCCAUGUCCAGGGUGAAGGUCAGGUAACACUGACUGGAGGCCCGAACCCACGUAUGUUGAAAAAUGCGGGGAUGAGGUGUGGGUAGCGGUGAAAUUCCAAUCGAACCUGGAGAUAGCUGGUUCUCUCCGAAAUAGCUUUAGGGCUAGCCUCAAACGAAAGAAUCUCGGAGGUAGAGCACUGUUUGGACGAGGGGCCCAUCCCGGGUUACCGAAUUCAGACAAACUCCGAAUGCCGAUGAUUUAUGUUUGGGAGUCAGACAGUGGGUGAUAAGAUCCAUUGUCGAGAGGGAAACAGCCCAGACCACCAGCUAAGGUCCCCAAGUAUCUGUUAAGUGGAAAAGGAUGUGGCGUUGCCCAGACAACCAGGAUGUUGGCUUAGAAGCAGCCAUCAUUUAAAGAGUGCGUAAUAGCUCACUGGUCGAGUGGCGCUGCGCCGAAAAUGUACCGGGGCUAAACAGAUCACCGAAGCUGUGGAUUGACCUUAGGGUCAAUGGUAGGAGAGCGUUCCAAGGGCGUUGAAGCUAGACCGGAAGGACUGGUGGAGCGCUUGGAAGUGAGAAUGCCGGUAUGAGUAGCGAAAGAAGGGUGAGAAUCCCUUCCACCGAAUGCCCAAGGUUUCCUGAGGAAGGCUCGUCCGCUCAGGGUUAGUCAGGACCUAAGUCGAGGCCGAUAGGCGUAGACGAUGGACAACAGGUUGAUAUUCCUGUACCACCUCCCCGCCGUUUGAGUAAUGGGGGGACGCAGUAGGAUAGGGUGAGCACACAGUUGGUUGUGUGUCUAAGCAGUGAGGUGGAGAACGAGGCAAAUCCCGUUCUCAUAUAACACUAGGCUGUGAUGGCGAGGAGAUUUWUCUCCAGAGUCCCUGAUUUCACACUGCCAAGAAAAGCCUCUAGCGAGGCGGGAGGUGCCUGUACCGCAAACCGACACAGGUAGGCGAGGAGAGAAUCCUAAGGUGAUCGAGAGAACUCUCGUUAAGGAACUCGGCAAAAUGACCCCGUAACUUCGGGAGAAGGGGUGCUCUGGUAGGGUGAAUAGCCCGAGAGAGCCGCAGUGAAUAGGCCCAGGCGACUGUUUAGCAAAAACACAGGUCUCUGCAAAAUCGUAAGAUGACGUAUAGGGGCUGACGCCUGCCCGGUGCUGGAAGGUUAAGAGGAGGGGUUAGCGCAAGCGAAGCUCUGAAUUGAAGCCCCAGUAAACGGCGGCCGUAACUAUAACGGUCCUAAGGUAGCGAAAUUCCUUGUCGGGUAAGUUCCGACCCGCACGAAAGGCGUAACGAUCUGGGCACUGUCUCAACGAGAGACUCGGUGAAAUUAUAAUAUGCGUGAAGAUGCGCAUUACCCGCGACAGGACGGAAAGACCCCGUGGAGCUUUACUGUAGCCUGAUAUUGAAUUCCGGUGCAGCCUGUACAGGAUAGGUAGGAGCCUUGGAUUCCGGAGCGCCAGCUUCGGAGGAGGCAUUGGUGGGAUACUACCCUGGCUGUAUUGGACUUCUAACCCUUGCCCGUGAUCCGGGCAGGAGACAGUGUCAGGUGGAC